Molecule: ribosomal RNA, 270 nt
Filed under: uncultured prokaryote
Description: partial 16S ribosomal RNA
Rfam family: Archaeal small subunit ribosomal RNA
Source: RNAcentral
CACCAGCGCCCCGAGUGGCAAUCACGAUUAUUGGGCCUAAAGCGUCCGUAGCAGGUUUUGUAAAUCUUUUGUGAAAUCGGCAAGCUUAACUUGUCGGCGUGCAGAAGACACUACAAGACUCGAGACCGGGAGAAGUCAGGAGUAUUCCUUGGGUACCGGUAAAAUGGGUUAAUCCAAGGAGGACUACCAAUGGCGAAGGCACCUGACUAGAACGGAUCUGACUGUGAGGGACGAAAGCUAGGGGAGCCAAACGGAUUAGAUACCCGCGUA